Molecule: ribosomal RNA, 500 nt
Filed under: uncultured bacterium
Lineage: Bacteria
Description: partial 16S ribosomal RNA
Rfam family: Bacterial small subunit ribosomal RNA
Source: RNAcentral
AUUGAACGCUGGCGGCAUGCCUUACACAUGCAAGUCGGACGGCAGCACGGGAGCAAUCCUGGUGGCGAGUGGCGAACGGGUGAGUAAAGUAUCGGAACGUGCCCAGUCGGGGGGGAUAACGUAGCGAAAGUUACGCUAAUACCGCAUACGAUCUAUGGAUGAAAGCGGGGGAUCGCAAGACCUCGCGCGAUUGGAGCGGCCGAUAUCAGAUUAGGUAGUUGGUGGGGUAAAGGCUCACCAAGCCGACGAUCUGUAGCUGGGCUGAGAGGACGGCCAGCCCGACUGGGAGUGAGACGCGGCCCAGACUCCUACGGGAGGCAGCAGAGGGGAAUGUUGGACAAUGGGCGGAAGCCUGAUCCAGCCAUGCCGCGUGCAGGGUGAAGGUCUUCGGGUUGUUAGCUGCUUGUGUACGGAACGAAAAGGUUUGGCCUAAUAAGCUGAGCUCAUGACGGUACCGUAAGAAUAAGCACCGGCUAACUACGUGCCAGCAGCCGCGGUAA